RNAcentral lists this ribosomal RNA (497 nucleotides) under uncultured bacterium. RNAcentral describes it as "partial 16S ribosomal RNA". It matches the Rfam family "Bacterial small subunit ribosomal RNA", at positions 28 to 507 of the family's 1533-position model. The record is from RNAcentral.
GAUGAACGCUGGCGGCGUGCCUAAUACAUGCAAGUCGAGCGAACGGACGAGAAGCUUGCUUCUCUGAUGUUAGCGGCGGACGGGUGAGUAACACGUGGAUAACCUACCUAUAAGACUGGGAUAACUUCGGGAAACCGGAGCUAAUACCGGAUAAUAUUUUGAACCGCAUGGUUCAAAAGUGAAAGACGGUCUUGCUGUCACUUAUAGAUGGAUCCGCGCUGCAUUAGCUAGUUGGUAAGGUAACGGCUUACCAAGGCAACGAUGCAUAGCCGACCUGAGAGGGUGAUCGCCCACACUGGAACUGAGACACGGUCCAGACUCCUACGGGAGGCAGCAGUAGGGAAUCUUCCGCAAUGGGCGAAAGCCUGACGGAGCAACCCCGCGUGAGUGAUGACGGUCUUCGGAUCGUAAAACUCUGUUAUUAGGGAAGAACAUAUGUGUAAGUAACUGUGCACAUCUUGACGGUACCUAAUCAGAAAGCCACGGCUAACUACGUG